RNAcentral lists this ribosomal RNA (449 nucleotides) under uncultured bacterium. Its description in RNAcentral is "partial 16S ribosomal RNA". It matches the Rfam family "Bacterial small subunit ribosomal RNA", at positions 864 to 1312 of the family's 1533-position model. The record is from RNAcentral.
GCANUCCGCCUGGGGAGUACGACCGCAAGGUUGAAACUCAAAGGAAUUGACGGGGGCCCGCACAAGCGGUGGAGCAUGUGGUUUAAUUCGAAGCAACGCGAAGAACCUUACCAGGUCUUGACAUCCCUCUGACCGCUCUAGAGAUAGAGUUUUCCUUCGGGACAGAGGUGACGGGUGGUGCAUGGUUGUCGUCAGCUCGUGUCGUGAGAUGUUGGGUUNANNNNANNNAANNNNNCGCAACCCCUAUUGUUAGUUGCCAUCAUUCAGUUGGGCACUCUAGCGAGACUGCCGGUAAUAAACCNGAGGAAGGUGGGGAUGACGUCAAAUCAUCAUGCCCCUUAUGACCUGGGCUACACACGUGCUACAAUGGCUGGUACAACGAGUCGCGAGUCGGUGACGGCAAGCUAAUCUCUUAAAGCCAGUCUCAGUUCGGAUUGUAGGCUGCAANU